UGCCAGACUCCUACGGGAGGCAGCAGUGGGGAAUAUUGCACAAUGGGGGAAACCCUGAUGCAGCGACGCCGCGUGAGUGAAGAAGUAAUUCGUUAUGUAAAGCUCUAUCAGCAGGGAAGAAAAUGACGGUACCUGAGUAAGAAGCCCCGGCUAACUACGUGCCAGCAGCCGCGGUAAUACGUAGGGGGCAAGCGUUAUCCGGAUUUACUGGGUGUAAAGGGAGCGUAGACGGCCAGACAAGUCUGAAGUGAAAAUCCAGCGCUUAACGUUGGAAGUGCUUUGGAAACUGCCGGGCUGGAGUGCAGGAGGGGCAGGCGGAAUUCCUAGUGUAGCGGUGAAAUGCGUAGAUAUUAGGAGGAACACCAGUGGCGAAGGCGGCCUGCUGGACUGCAACUGACGUUGAGGCUCGAAGGCGUGGGGAGCAAACAGGAUUAGAUACCCCAGUAC
RNAcentral lists this ribosomal RNA (447 nucleotides) under uncultured bacterium. RNAcentral describes it as "bacterial SSU rRNA". It matches the Rfam family "Bacterial small subunit ribosomal RNA", at positions 329 to 793 of the family's 1533-position model. The record is from RNAcentral.